Molecule: ribosomal RNA, 431 nt
Filed under: uncultured Elusimicrobium sp.
Lineage: Bacteria; Pseudomonadati; Elusimicrobiota; Elusimicrobia; Elusimicrobiales; Elusimicrobiaceae
Description: bacterial SSU rRNA
Rfam family: Bacterial small subunit ribosomal RNA
Source: RNAcentral
AACGCGAAGAACCUUACCUGGGCUUGAACUACUCGUGGUAAGCCGAUGGAAACAUUGGCUGACCCGCAAGGGAGCGAGCAGAGGUGCUGCAUGGUUGUCGUCAGCUCGUGUCGUGAGAUGUUGGGUUAAGUCCCGCAACGAGCGCAACCCCUAUCUCAUGUUGCUAAUCCCGCAAGGGAUGCACUCUUGAGAAACUGCCUUCGAUAAGAAGGAGGAAGGUGGGGACGACGUCAAAUCCUCAUGGCCCUUAUGUCCAGGGCAACACACGUGCUACAAUGGCCGGUACAACGGGAAGCAAUACCGCAAGGUGGAGCCAAACCCUGAAAGCCGGCCUCAGUUCAGAUCGUGGGCUGCAACUCGCCCACGUGAAGGCGGAAUCGCUAGUAAUCGCGAAUCAGCAGGUCGCGGUGAAUACGUUCCCGGGCCUUGUA